GGGGAUGCAACUUGGUGGUAGAGUUAUUGCCUGGCAUAUGAAAGUUCUUGGGUUCAAUUCCCAGCAUCACCA
RNAcentral lists this transfer RNA (72 nucleotides) under Mesocricetus auratus (golden hamster). It matches the Rfam family "tRNA". Rfam says of the family: Transfer RNA (tRNA) molecules are approximately 80 nucleotides in length. Lineage: Eukaryota; Metazoa; Chordata; Mammalia; Rodentia; Cricetidae. The record is from Rfam by way of RNAcentral.